This 408-nucleotide ribosomal RNA is filed under the name Triticum aestivum (bread wheat). Its description in RNAcentral is "partial small subunit ribosomal RNA". The record is from RNAcentral. Lineage: Eukaryota; Viridiplantae; Streptophyta; Magnoliopsida; Poales; Poaceae.
AUGCAGAGGCGGAGGCCUGGAUUCCACCAUGUGGAAGAGACAGAGAACAAUGUAGUGCGGAGCCUGUUUUGGACAGACUCCUUGUGUAAGAUGAAUUAUGAUCUAUAUGAAGAUUUCGUGUCUUUUGACACGACAUUCUCUACGAAUAUAUAUGGCUUGCCAUUUGCACCAAUUAUAGGUGUCGACAACCAUGGGUCGACCGUCCUGUUUGGACUAGGCCUUUUGAAAGAUGAGAAAAUAGGGUCAUUCAAGUGGCUCCUAAGCACGUUUGUCGAGGCAAUGGGGGGUAAAGAGCCGAAAUACAUAAUAACAGACCAGGACCAGGCGAUGAAGACUGCAAUAAAGGUAGCUCUUCCGAGAACGAGGCACAGGUUCUGCUGGUGGCAUAUUAGGAAGAACCUGAAGGAA